Molecule: long non-coding RNA, 1393 nt
Organism: Hyaena hyaena (striped hyena)
Lineage: Eukaryota; Metazoa; Chordata; Mammalia; Carnivora; Hyaenidae
Exons: 8
Source: RefSeq, a predicted model, not a curated record
CAACAAAAAACAUAACCCUAAAGGAAAAAGAAGGAUAAAGAAAUGAAAGGGACCUGAGGACAGACCAUGCCCUUGACUGCCUGACCAGCCUGAGUAGAGAGCAUACCUGAGCUCUAAAUGACAUUGGUGGGCCUCCUCGUCCUUGGGUUCCCAGCAGAAAUUUGGAGAUAGAGGGGAGAGUGAAGUAGGGGAUAUCUAUGACCCUAGUUCUCUUCCUGUGGAGUCAGCGUGAGUUGGCAUGUCCUUCAAUCAAAGUGGAAUUCUGCUCAGGAGGUUCCCGUGCACAUGAUUCUUUCCUCCAGCUUCAGUGACUGCUCCCUUCUCUGAAGGGGUGAGAGAAGGGAACCCCAAGUUCUAAUGUAUAAAUAAGGACAUUUCUAGUGACAUUUCCUGAAGAUGUCACUGUGUGUUGUGCAUCUAAUUCCCAAAUGUAUUUCAUCACAGAAUCCUCUUUCACUGAAACAUCUCUUAAGUCGAGCUUUUCAUGGAAAAGUCUUCAGAAAACACUGCCUCACAGCCUGUCAAAGAAGGCAUCACCAGAGAAAAAGGAGGCCCUUCUGGAGGAUCCAAAGUCCACACAUGGAAGAACAGACUUCACUGAACUAAUACAAUUUUCAGGAAAGUGGCCAGAGCAGGCUGCCCUACAAGUCCCAAGUUUGCCAUGUUCACCUGAAUUUCAUGAGAAGGAAAUAAAUAGAACACACUUAUGAGCUGCCAUUGGUCCUAUCUUACACAUAAAGAAUCUGUAGCUCAGGAACCUAUAGAAUUUCAUCUCCCCUCACCACCAGGUGACAUAGAAGUGAGAAGAUACUGCAUCAGAGGUUUCAUGGAGAAGGUCUACAGCUUUUGAAAUAUUCUCUAAGGAGUCCAUAACCACCAAGGGCAAGAAGCAUUACUUUUCCCACAUCAGCUCCCCCAUCGUCACAUUCUGAUCCCUGAGGAAUAUCCUAUUCUCUUGCUAAACUACUGCAGUUUAACUGAGACCCAAGAAUGAGCCUUCUUUUUAUCAGAUGAAAAUACAUGGCCACAAACAUUAUGCAGUCAGAAGCAACCUAAAAUAGCCACUGUAUAAUUAACUCAGUCUUCAGAAGAGAAAACAAUUAUGGGACGAGAGAAGGAAAAACACAGACAAUUUUCCAUCCCUUCCCAGUUGCAGCAGCUGAAGGAAGACCCUCAAACUCACUUAGACACCCAGCUGUGUUAGUGAAUCUUUACGGCCCUCAAUAUUCCAGAUGUGUACUGCUCACCCGCGGCUGGUAAGCCACUAAACAAGCAAACUGAUGAUUUUCCAUAAAAGCAGUGGACUAAAUCAUCAGAAGAAGGCUACCUGGACAUGUUUUAUCUUAAAGUGAUAGCAAGAAGGGAUGGGGAAAAAUUAGUUUUGUAAAUCCAA